This is a long non-coding RNA of Triplophysa rosa, 2414 nucleotides long. RefSeq lists it as uncharacterized. The transcript is spliced from 3 exons. The record is from RefSeq and is a predicted model, not a curated record. NCBI's taxonomy places the organism in Eukaryota, Metazoa, Chordata, Actinopteri, Cypriniformes, Nemacheilidae.
UCGAUUUGUACUGUGCAUGUGCAAAAGCGCAUCACGACCCUUGUCCUGCGAAUGUGCUCGAUUAGAUAUUUGGUGAUGAGUAGGCCUAUAUGUGAUAGCAGUAUGGACUCUUUUGCAUUUGAUGUACAACUUAAAUAUUAUCUCUUAAAAGGAGAAAUUCCUGACAGCCCUACAGAGCGUCGGAAGGUAAAACGGGCGUCUACGAAUGAUACCCUCAAAGAUGACAGACUCUUCUACACGGGCCCUAGCAGAGCAGGCAGUACAUACGGCUAGUUGUCCUGUCAGAGGAAGAGAAAACAUCUGAUCUUACAGAGUGCCACAAUAACCCAGGAACUGGCAAUCAAGAGUGGUGUGGGUUAUUGCUGGCUACUAUUGGUCCACAAUAAUCAACGACGUGAAAGAAUGGGUAAUAUACUACAGAGGUGGUACUUUACUUUACUGAAUGACCCCAUCAAACUGUUGUGCCAGUCUUGCAUUCCAUUAAGGUACUGCUUACAAUAUUUGUGCAUACUCAUGAGACUAACAAGCUAGUCUCAAGCUUGUGUACAGUUUUACCAGCAUUUGACUGAUGCUAAUUUUGUCCCAUGCAGUUAAAAGAAGCUUGGGAGGUGCUUGGUUUAGAUUGAUUGGACCACUACUAGAAACAGAACACAGCAACAAGUAUGUCCGUACCAUGACUGACCUGUACACCAAGUGGGUGAUUUCAGAACCCAUGCAGUCUAAGACAGCAGCUGAAGCUGAGACAAUGCAUAAUUUUAAACCUGGCAGCUUUCACAAGGAUGUAAACGAUCUGCCUUUAAUUUCAGGUGGGAAAUGCUUGCCUCAAGAUUGUAGGAGAAGCUGCACGACAACAUUUACUGUGUACUAUUGUGGCCCGGUUUCACAGACAAGGCUUUAGCUUACGCCAGGACUAGGCCUUAGUUAAUUAUCUGCAUGCUGAUGUAUGCACCUGCACAUCGUGUCCAUUAACAUUCACAGAGGUAAGCUGGAUUUUCACACAAGAAAACAUAAUGCCAUCAAACUACUGUGUGUGCGUUCGUGCAUGUGUGUGUGUUUUAGGAGGAGGUUCUAUUGAUUUGCCAGUGGUGGUGCAUUCAACAAGUGUAUGAUAGACUAUCCUACUAUAUACUGUAGACUAUGAUUCUGGAAGUUGUGCUGUUUUAAUCCUGCUGGAUCUCAGUGCGGCAUUUGACACUCUUGAUCAUGGCAUUCUUUUAAAUCGCCUACAGCAAAUUGGGAUUCAAGGUUGUGUGUUAAAUUGGUUUAUAUCCUAUUUAAAGGGCCGAACUUUUUCAGUAGAGAAUGGCAAAUAUUCUUCAACUUGUGCACCAGUCUUAUAUGGGGUUCCACAGGGCUCAAUUUUAGGUCCUGUUUUAUUUUCUUUGUACAUGCUUCCUUUAUAUGCCAUAUUUAAAAAGCACAAUGUUUCUUACCACUGUUACGCAGAUGAUACUCAGUGUUAUGUUCCUCUGCACCCUAAGGAUGGCUCCAGCCUGCAGCAUUUGUUUGAUUGUAUAAGAGAUGUUAAACAGUUGAUGUCUGCCAACUUCCUCCAGUUAAAUGAGUCUAAGACUGAGGUCUUACUUUUUGGCUCCCCUGCUUCUUCAGAGGUUGUGGCCAGUAAACUAGGACCUCUAUCUGGUAAUCUUCAUUCACAUGUUAGAAACAUAGGCGUUAUUUUUGACUCUACUCUGACUUUUGAUAAACAGAUCAAUGCUGUGGUUAGGAGUUGUUUUUAUCAGUUAAAGAAUAUUGCAAAGAUGAAGUCAUUCUUAACAUUAAGAGACAUGGAGUCUGUAAUACAUGCUUUUAUCUCAUCCCGAUUAGAUUAUUGUAAUGGAUUGUACUUGGGUGUUUCACAGUCCCUAUUGUCACGUCUUCAACUUGUUCAAAAUGCUGCUGCCAGAUUGUUGACCGGAACAAGGAAGAGGGAACAUAUCUCACCAGUGCUGAUCUCUCUUCACUGGCUCCCAGUUAAACAUCGUAUCCAUUUUAAAACAUUGUUGUUUGUUUAUAAGGGUUUGCAUGGACUGGCUGCGUCAUAUAUCUCUGAUCUCCUGUUUCACUGUAAUGCUUCCAGGGAUCUACGAUCCACUAGUAGUCUUCAGUUGACUGUUCCAAGGUCACGUCUGAAAUCGAAAGGCGACCGUGCCUUUUCAGUGGCUGCCCCACAGCUUUGGAACAAUUUGCCAACUUACAUAAGAUUUGCUCCAACAUACACUGAUUUUAAGUCCCUUCUUAAAACGUAUUUAUUCAAUAUUGCAUACGGUCGCAAGUAAGCACAGUGGCAUAACUGUAGUGUAUUAUCUGUUGUUUUGUUUUGUUUACCUUUGUAUUUUGGUAUAUGUUUUAAUUUUUGUACAGCACUUUGGCCAACAGCUGUUGUUUUUAAAUGUGCUUUAUAAAUAAAUAUG